This 72-nucleotide transfer RNA is filed under the name Camelus bactrianus (Bactrian camel). It matches the Rfam family "tRNA". From Rfam's summary of the family: Transfer RNA (tRNA) molecules are approximately 80 nucleotides in length. The record is from Rfam by way of RNAcentral. RNAcentral also lists the same sequence under 2 other names. Lineage: Eukaryota; Metazoa; Chordata; Mammalia; Artiodactyla; Camelidae.
GUGGGCGUAGCUCAGUGAUAGACCACGUGCUUAGCAUGCACGAGGUGCUGGGUUCAAUCCCCAGUACCUCCA